AGGUAAGCUACUAAGAGCGAAUGGUGGAUGCCUUGACUGGUAAAGGCGAUGAAGGACGUACUAGACUGCGAUAAGCUACGGGGAGCUGUCAAGAAGCUUUGAUCCGUAGAUUUCCGAAUGGGGCAACCCAAUGUAUAGAGAUAUACAUUACCUAUAUAGGAGCGAACGAGGGGAAUUGAAACAUCUUAGUACCCUCAGGAAAAGAAAUCAAUAGAGAUUGCGUCAGUAGCGGCGAGCGAAAGCGCAAGAGGGCAAACCCAGUGCUUGCACUGGGGGUUGUAGGACUGCAAUGUGCAAGAGCUGAGUUUAGCAGAACAUUCUGGAAAGUAUAGCCAUAGAGGGUGAUAGUCCCGUAUGCGAAAAACAAAGCUUAGCUAGCAGUAUCCUGAGUAGGGCGGGACACGAGGAAUCCUGUCUGAAUCCGGGUCGACCACGAUCCAACCCUAAAUACUAAUACCAGAUCGAUAGUGCACAAGUACCGUGAGGGAAAGGUGAAAAGAACUGAGGUGAUCAGAGUGAAAUAGAACCUGAAACCAUUUGCUUACAAUCAUUCAGAGCACUAUGUAGCAAUACAGUGUGAUGGACUGCCUUUUGCAUAAUGAGCCUGCGAGUUGUGGUGUCUGGCAAGGUUAAGCAAACGCGAAGCCGUAGCGAAAGCGAGUCUGAAUAGGGCGCUUAGUCAGAUGCUGCAGACCCGAAACGAAGUGAUCUAUCCAUGAGCAAGUUGAAGCUAGUGUAAGAACUAGUGGAGGACUGAACCCAUAGGCGUUGAAAAGCCCCGGGAUGACUUGUGGAUAGGGGUGAAAGGCCAAUCAAACUUCGUGAUAGCUGGUUCUCUCCGAAAUAUAUUUAGGUAUAGCGUUGUGUCGUAAUAUAAGGGGGUAGAGCACUGAAUGGGCUAGGGCAUACACCAAUGUACCAAACCCUAUCAAACUCCGAAUACCUUAUAUGUAAUCACAGCAGUCAGGCGGCGAGUGAUAAAAUCCGUCGUCAAGAGGGAAACAACCCAGACUACCAGCUAAGGUCCCUAAAUCUUACUUAAGUGGAAAACGAUGUGAAGUUACUUAAACAACCAGGAGGUUGGCUUAGAAGCAGCCAUCCUUUAAAGAAAGCGUAAUAGCUCACUGGUCUAGUGAUUUUGCGCGGAAAAUAUAACGGGGCUAAAGUAAGUACCGAAGCUGUAGACUUAGUUUACUAAGUGGUAGGAGAGCGUUCUAUUUGCGUCGAAGGUAUACCGGUAAGGAGUGCUGGAGCGAAUAGAAGUGAGCAUGCAGGCAUGAGUAGCGAUAAUUAAUGUGAGAAUCAUUAACGCCGUAAACCCAAGGUUUCCUACGCGAUGCUCGUCAUCGUAGGGUUAGUCGGGUCCUAAGUCGAGUCCGAAAGGGGUAGACGAUGGCAAAUUGGUUAAUAUUCCAAUACCAACAUUAGUGUGCGAUGGAAGGACGCUUAGGGCUAAGGGGGCUAGCGGAUGGAAGUGCUAGUCUAAGGUCGUAGGAGGUUAUACAGGAAAAUCCGUAUAACAAUACUCCGAGAACUGAAAGGCUUUUUGAAGUCUUCGGAUGGAUAGAAGAACCCCUGAUGCCGUCGAGCCAAGAAAAGUUUCUAAGUUUAGCUAAUGUUGCCCGUACCGUAAACCGACACAGGUGGGUGGGAUGAGUAUUCUAAGGCGCGUGGAAGAACUCUCUUUAAGGAACUCUGCAAAAUAGCACCGUAUCUUCGGUAUAAGGUGUGGUUAGCUUUGUAUUAGGAUUUACUCCGAAAGCGAAGAAACUUACAACAAAGAGUCCCUCCCGACUGUUUACCAAAAACACAGCACUCUGCUAACUCGUAAGAGGAUGUAUAGGGUGUGACGCCUGCCCGGUGCUCGAAGGUUAAUUGAUGGGGUUAGCAUUAGCGAAGCUCUUGAUCGAAGCCCGAGUAAACGGCGGCCGUAACUAUAACGGUCCUAAGGUAGCGAAAUUCCUUGUCGGUUAAAUACCGACCUGCAUGAAUGGCGUAACGAGAUGGGAGCUGUCUCAAAGAGGGAUCCAGUGAAAUUGUAGUGGAGGUGAAAAUUCCUCCUACCCGCGGCAAGACGGAAAGACCCCGUGGACCUUUACUACAGCUUGACACUGCUACUUGGAUAAGAAUGUGCAGGAUAGGUGGGAGGCUUUGA
This 2155-nucleotide ribosomal RNA is filed under the name Campylobacter jejuni. RNAcentral's name for it is "partial 23S ribosomal RNA". It matches the Rfam family "Bacterial large subunit ribosomal RNA", at positions 1 to 2160 of the family's 2925-position model. Lineage: Bacteria; Pseudomonadati; Campylobacterota; Epsilonproteobacteria; Campylobacterales; Campylobacteraceae. The record is from RNAcentral.